CCUACGGGAGGCAGCAGUGGGGAAUAUUGGGCAAUGGGCGAAAGCCUGACCCAGCGAUGCCGCGUGAGGGAUGAAGGCCUUCGGGUUGUAAACCUCUGUCAGGAGGGACGAUGGGACUUUUGUCUUGACGGUACCUCCAGAGGAAGCCUCGGCUAACUCCGUGCCAGCAGCCGCGGUAAUACGGAGGGGGCAAGCGUUGCUCGGAAUUACUGGGCGUAAAGGGUCCGCAGGCUGUCAGGCAAGUUGGUUGUGAAAGCUCAAGGCUCAACCUUGGAAUUGCAUCCAAAACUGCCUGACUAGAGUCCAAGAGAGGUUGGCGGAAUUCCCGGUGUAGCGGUGAAAUGCAUAGAUAUCGGGAGGAACACCAGAGGCGAAGGCGGCCAACUGGCUUGGUACUGACGCUCAGGGACGAAAGCGUAGGUAGCAAACCGGAUUAGAUACCCGGGUAGUCCACGCCCUAAACGAUGGAUGCUAGGUAGGGGGAAUUUAUUUCUCCCUGCCGUAGUUAACGCAUUAAGCAUCCCGCCUGGGGAGUACGGUCGCAAGGCUGAAACUCAAAUGAAUUGACGG
RNAcentral lists this ribosomal RNA (570 nucleotides) under uncultured bacterium. Its description in RNAcentral is "bacterial SSU rRNA". It matches the Rfam family "Bacterial small subunit ribosomal RNA", at positions 338 to 916 of the family's 1533-position model. The record is from RNAcentral.